RNAcentral lists this unclassified non-coding RNA (379 nucleotides) under soil metagenome. RNAcentral describes it as "partial contains 5.8S ribosomal RNA, internal transcribed spacer 2, and large subunit ribosomal RNA". The stretch from base 1 to 119 matches the Rfam family "5.8S ribosomal RNA", at positions 35 to 154 of the family's 154-position model. The record is from RNAcentral.
GAUGAAGAACGUAGCGAAAUGCGAUAAGUAAUGUGAAUUCAGAAUUCAGUGAAUCAUCGAAUCUUUGAACGCACCUUGCACCCUUUGGCAUUCUGAAGGGUAUGCUCGUUUGAGUGUCAUUGUACUCUCACACUCCCGAUCUUUGCAUUGGGAGCAGUGGACUUGGGUUUGCUGCUUCACCGUCGCUUACCUCAAAUAGGUUAGUGCAACUCUUGGUUGGACAUAGUACGGCGUGAUAAGUGUUCUUCGCCGGUGCCUCGCAAAGAGGGUGGCCGAUCGGGAUGUUGUGCUCCAAACCGUCUUCGGACAAUCUCUGACGACUUGACCUCAAAUCGAGUAAGACUACCCGCUGAACUUAAGCAUAUCAAUAAGCGGAGGA